Non-coding RNA from Arachis ipaensis, 481 nucleotides. Lineage: Eukaryota; Viridiplantae; Streptophyta; Magnoliopsida; Fabales; Fabaceae. The record is from RefSeq and is a predicted model, not a curated record.
GUAAACUAGUAGUGUCUCUUUUGUAACUGCCUAUUGAUUCUAAAAUUCUUACUCUGCAGAAAACUGGAACCAAGAUCAAGGAGCUUACUUUGCUGGAAAGCAUCAAGAGCAACCCGUCAGAAGUUGUCCCGCUUGAAAAUUCGAACCCGAAAACCAAGAGCAUUGCUGAAGUUAGUCUCAUAUGGGAGAUGUCUCUCUUCAAAAUCUCCAAGAUAGUUUUGGGAAUCUCUCAGAGGAUCCAUCCCACUGCCAUUGUAAUUUCUAUUUGCCUGUAUUUAGGUUGGUUUUUUUUCAUCCUCAUGUUAUAGGGUCCAAUUUCAUAAGGCCAAUCUUUAUUUCCAUUUAGUCUAAUAAAAAGCAUGUAGUUAUAUAUCUAAUGAAGAAAAAUUAGGAAUGUAGUUGAUGUAGUUAUUCCAUUUUAGCGAUAAGAUGUUGUAUAUUUUUCCUUCCAGGCAUAAAUUUGAUGAGAAAUUUAAAUUUA